ACAGCAGCCGCCACGGUAAUACGAGGGGGGCAAGCGUUGUUCGGAAUUAUUGGGCGUAAAGGGCGCGUAGGCGGUUUGACAAGUCUGAUGUGAAAUCUCUGGGCUCAACCCAGAGUCUGCAUCGGAAACUGUCGAGCUUGAGUAUGGGAGAGGUGAGUGGAAUUUCCGGUGUAGCGGUGAAAUGCGUAGAUAUCGGAAGGAACACCUGUAGCGAAAGCGGCUCACUGGACCAUUACUGACGCUGAGGCGCGAAAGCUAGGGGAGCAAACAGGAUUAGAUACCCGGGUAGUCCCUGUCUCUUAUAC
This 305-nucleotide ribosomal RNA is filed under the name uncultured bacterium. Its description in RNAcentral is "partial 16S ribosomal RNA". It matches the Rfam family "Bacterial small subunit ribosomal RNA", at positions 508 to 807 of the family's 1533-position model. The record is from RNAcentral.